This 270-nucleotide ribosomal RNA is filed under the name uncultured bacterium. RNAcentral's name for it is "partial 16S ribosomal RNA". It matches the Rfam family "Bacterial small subunit ribosomal RNA", at positions 84 to 353 of the family's 1533-position model. The record is from RNAcentral.
UUUGCUGGCGACCGGCGCACGGGUGAGUAACACGUAUCCAACCUGCCCUUUACUCGGGGAUAGCCUUUCGAAAGAAAGAUUAAUACCCGAUAGCAUAAUGAUUCCGCAUGGUUUCAUUAUUAAAGGAUUCCGGUAAAGGAUGGGGAUGCGUUCCAUUAGGUUGUUGGUGAGGUAACGGCUCACCAAGCCUUCGAUGGAUAGGGGUUCUGAGAGGAAGGUCCCCCACAUUGGAACUGAGACACGGUCCAAACUCCUACGGGAGGCAGCAUG